AGGAGAUUUUCUAAAUGAGUCUGGACUUGAGGAGACUGGUCAGCACUGAAGAGAGAAAUCUGGAGUCUUGAGUAGAUACGAUUCUACUUUAAGAUAUAAGACUGGAUGAGAGAGAAUGUAAUAGAGAAAAGAUAUUCAGAACUGAGCUCUGGGCACAUCAAAAUAGAAUUUCAGAGGAAACAGCACCAACGAGUAAAAGGAAAGUAAAGGGCUGACGAAGAAGUCGUGGAAACAAACUAUUUCAACAAGAACAUCAUCUAACAACACAGGGACACUAUCAGAAGAAGACCACGAAAGGUUAUGCCCUUUGGAGUCAAUAUUGAGGUUCUCUAUCACACUGGAAAGAAACAGACCUCAGACAACGGAUUACUAACCACACUUCACUGAAAGCACCAUCAGAGAAACAUGUGACAAAGACAUGGAGAUCAAUGUGCUACUCUGGAAUAUCUCUGCAUUUCCCCAAGACUGUCCUGAAAGACCAGCAAUGGAGAAUAGUUGUACCAGGAGUGGAGUGGUCAGAUGUGUCUGUCUUUGUCAUACAUUGCUAGCAAUUUUGGUUGUUUCUCAAUAAACAUUUUUAAAAUUUAUUUUCCCUAAAUUGUUCACUGUUCACAUUCAUCCAUUUAUCCACUUACUCAAUAAUUAUUUUUUGAGUAUCUAUUCUGCGGUGAAAUUAAAGACCAAAGUAGGGGAUAGAGAAGUAAAGUUGAGAUCACUGGGCUUUAUUACUUUUUAAAGCCAGGGGAUAGCAAUGACGUCAGCUUGAGAAUGAGUUACAAUAGCAACCAGUAAAGGAUAGCACUGGCUUUAAACAAAAAUAAACCACCAGAAUAUAUUUUCUGAUUUAUCUGUGUUUCUGAUGAGGACAUCCGUUUAUCUAUUUUAAAUGAAGUGUUGCUAGAUACCCACCAGUUUUCAAGAAUCUAACCACUGGGUAAAUAAAAGGAAAAAAUGGGAAAUUCUGACACAAGAGUGAAAUAUGAAUGAGUG
RNAcentral lists this long non-coding RNA (990 nucleotides) under Homo sapiens (human). RNAcentral's name for it is "HSALNT0144712". Lineage: Eukaryota; Metazoa; Chordata; Mammalia; Primates; Hominidae. The record is from RNAcentral.